GCUGGGUGCAGUGGUGCACACCUGUAAUCCCAGCAGCUCGGGAGGCUGAGACAGGAGGAUCAUAAGUUCAAAGCCAACCUCAGCAAUGGUGAGGUACUAAGCAACUCAGUGAGACCCUGUCUCUA
This 125-nucleotide small RNA is filed under the name Marmota monax (woodchuck). The record is from RNAcentral. Lineage: Eukaryota; Metazoa; Chordata; Mammalia; Rodentia; Sciuridae.